RNAcentral lists this long non-coding RNA (747 nucleotides) under Pan troglodytes (chimpanzee). RNAcentral describes it as "lincRNA". Lineage: Eukaryota; Metazoa; Chordata; Mammalia; Primates; Hominidae. The record is from RNAcentral.
CCCUGGAGCUGCAGAACCUGAUGCUGUGUGCGCUGCAGACCGUCAGUGGAGCAGAGGCGUGGAAGGAGUCACGGGGCGCGCACGCCAGGGAAGACUACAAGGUGCGGAUCGAUGAGUACGAUCACUCCAAGCUCAUCCAGGGGCAACAGAAGAAGCCCUUUGAGGAGCACUGGAGGAAGCACACCCUGUCCUAUGUGGACGUCAGCACUGGGAAGGUCACUCUGGAAUAUAGACCCAUAAUCGACAAAACUUUGAACGAGGCUGACUGUGCCACCGUCCCCCCAGCCAUUCGCUCCUACUGAUGAGACAAGAUGCGGUGAUGACAGAAUCAGCUUUUGUAAUUACGUAUAAUAGCUCAUACAUGUGUCCAUGUCAUAACUGUCUUUAUACGCUUCUGCACUCUGGGGAAGAAGGAGUACAUUGAAGGGGGAUUGGCACCCAGUGGCCGGGGAGCGUGACACUUACCUUUGUCCCUUGCUUCAUUCUUGUGACAAUAUAAAACUGGGCACAGCUCUUAAAUAAAAUAUAAAUGAACAAACUUUCUUUUAUUUCCAAAUCCAUGUCAAAUAUUUUACUGUUAUGACGUGUCAUAUUUGUUGACCUAAAAAUCAAAUGUAAUUAUCUUUGUAUUCUGUUACAUCAAAAUCCAGAUAUUUUGUUGCAGUUUCUUUUUUUUUUUUUUGAGACCAGGUUGGUGCAGUGGUGCAGUCUCAGCUCACUGCAGCCUCAAACUCCUGGGCAGCUCAG